CUGCUUGCUUACGGUCUCGCUCGGGCAACCGAGCGGGGCCGGGCACGCUACCCUUGCCUAUGCAUACCUGUUGUUACUCCCUCGGCGGGGAAACCCGCCGCUGGGGACACGUAAACUCUCUUGUAUAAAGCAUCAAACCUUCUGAACAAAACUAAAUAAUCA
RNAcentral lists this unclassified non-coding RNA (162 nucleotides) under uncultured Pleosporales. RNAcentral's name for it is "sequence contains ITS1". Lineage: Eukaryota; Fungi; Ascomycota; Dothideomycetes; Pleosporales. The record is from RNAcentral.